RNA transcript from Diorhabda sublineata, 707 nucleotides. RefSeq lists it as uncharacterized. The transcript is spliced from 3 exons. NCBI's taxonomy places the organism in Eukaryota, Metazoa, Arthropoda, Insecta, Coleoptera, Chrysomelidae. The record is from RefSeq and is a predicted model, not a curated record.
UUUGGUUCGUCUAUAUGCAUUUAUUAAUUUGUUUUGUUAAUUUAAUUUUUUUGUGAUUUAUAGUGAUUGUGUUGAUUAAAAAUUAUUUAAUACUGAUUUAUAAUCACUUGUAAGAACACAUGUAACGAUAUUUAAAUGCUUUUUCUUCCUAAAAACGUCGAGAGAAAAUAUACGUUUCCAAGAGAAAAUCGAUCAUUUUUCAACUAUAAAAUUGAAUGUCAUUGAAUUAACUGAAAAACUUGAGCAGGAAAAAACAUCAUAUGCAGCUUUAUCUGACAUACAUAAAGAAAUAUCGUCCAAGUUUAUAGAAAGCGUGAAGAAAAACGUGCAAGAGAAAGAAGCAAGAUUAGAAAUUGAAAAAAAAUUAGAACAAGUUAAAGAACAACUUGAGAGGAUUCCAACUGAGAAAGUUGUAUAUUUGGAAGACAAUGUCGCCUAUCAAGACGAGAUCAAAGUAGGAUUAAAUACCACGAAAAAUUAUUUUUUUUCUAUAUUUUUUUUAAUAUCUUGUUAGGUUAUAGCAGCCGAAAAUGAAAAACUCAAAAAAGAUUGCCAAGAAAAUCAAAAUUUAAUAUUUUCUCUAAGGCAAGAUAUAGCCCAAUAUCAACAACAACUUAUUGGAUUGGAAUUUCAAAAGUGAGAUUCGUUUUUUAGGGGAAUACAUUAUAAUUUGAAUUUGUAAGGACAAAAUUGAUUGUUUUAGGUCU